This 98-nucleotide signal recognition particle RNA is filed under the name Acidobacteriota bacterium. RNAcentral's name for it is "Acidobacteria bacterium (wastewater metagenome) signal recognition particle sRNA small type". It matches the Rfam family "Bacterial small signal recognition particle RNA". Rfam says of the family: The signal recognition particle (SRP) is a universally conserved ribonucleoprotein involved in the co-translational targeting of proteins to membranes. Archaeal SRP consists of a 7S RNA and homologues of the eukaryotic SRP19 and SRP54 proteins. In most bacteria, the SRP consists of a 4.5S RNA and the Ffh protein (a homologue of the eukaryotic SRP54 protein). The record is from RNAcentral. Lineage: Bacteria; Pseudomonadati; Acidobacteriota.
CUGGCUCUGGGCGUCAACUCGGUAUUUCGAACCCUGUCAGAUCCGAAAGGAAGCAGCAGUAAGAAACCCCCCGGGUGUGACGUAUCCAGAGCCUUUUA